Molecule: ribosomal RNA, 245 nt
Filed under: uncultured bacterium
Lineage: Bacteria
Description: partial 16S ribosomal RNA
Rfam family: Bacterial small subunit ribosomal RNA
Source: RNAcentral
GACAGAAUCCUCGAGCGUUACCCGGAUUUAUUGGGCGUAAAGGGUCCGUAGGUGGUUUGGUAAGUUUUGAGUUAAAGCUUUUCGGCUUAACCUUAAAGAUGCUCAAAAUACUGCCAGACUUGAGGGCGUUAGGGGUUAGCGGAACCGACGGAGUAGGGGUGAAAUCCGUUGAUAUCGUCGGGAACACCAAAAGCGAAGGCAGCUAACUAGGACGACCCUGACACUGAGGGACGAAAGCGUGGGGA